Mirounga angustirostris (Northern elephant seal) is the source of this 707-nucleotide long non-coding RNA. RefSeq lists it as uncharacterized. The record is from RefSeq and is a predicted model, not a curated record. The transcript is spliced from 4 exons. Lineage: Eukaryota; Metazoa; Chordata; Mammalia; Carnivora; Phocidae.
CUUUUGGGACUCAGCAGGAGAAUCUCCCACUGAAGAACACACAGAUUCUGAAGGAGGAGACUGCUUCUCUUCCAGAGGAUGACCUUCCGGAGCCAUCAGUGCAACCUCCCCGCAGUUACCAGCUUCCCCUAAAGUGCUGAUGAAUCCUCAGAUGGCUGUUUAAGUGAAGACACUGAAUCUUCAAGACGACUGUCUACUUGUUCGGAGACGUUUAAACCUGAACUUUCAACUGACACAGUGAUUUGUGUAGCCUAAGAAGUCUUGCCUUCUGCAAGGUCACAAAGACUUUGGUUUUUACCUAGAAUUCACCUGAAAGCAAACCUGCUAUAAUGAAUUCGUUUGGUGGGCACGGCAACAAGAAUGGAUUACACCGUCCGAGAGUCCAAGUCAAAGGAUGAGUUACCAUCACAAUCUCAGCGGCUCUUGACUAAGGAUAUGUGCACAUGAACAAAUCUUUUUUUUUAAAAAAACACAUGAACAAAUAUUAAAGAUAAAUUGUCGGGGCGCCUGGGUGGCUGUUGUUAAGCAUCUGCCUGUGGCUCAGGUCAUGAUCCCAGGGUCCUGGGAUCGAGCCCCGCAUCAGGCUCCCUGCUCGGCGGGAAGCCUGCUUCUCCCUCUCCCACUCCCCCUGCUUGUGUUCCCUCUCUCGCUGUCAAAUAAAUAAAUAAAAUCUUUAAAAAAAAAAGAAAAAAGAUAAAUUGUUAAAG